RNAcentral lists this ribosomal RNA (1389 nucleotides) under Tetrahymena frigidoflumine. RNAcentral describes it as "SSU rRNA". It matches the Rfam family "Eukaryotic small subunit ribosomal RNA", at positions 191 to 1637 of the family's 1831-position model. The record is from RNAcentral. Lineage: Eukaryota; Ciliophora; Oligohymenophorea; Hymenostomatida; Tetrahymenidae.
UGUGACCGGAACGUAUUUAUUAGAUAUUAGACCAAUCGCAGCAAUGUGAUUGAGAUGAAUCAAAGUAACUGAUCGAAUCGUAGCUUGCUACGAUAAAUCAUCUAAGUUUCUGCCCUAUCAGCUCUCGAUGGUAGUGUAUUGGACUACCAUGGCAGUCACGGGUAACGGAGAAUUAGGGUUCGAUUCCGGAGAAGGAGCCUGAGAAACGGCUACUACAACUACGGUUAGGCAGCAGGGAAGAAAAUUGGCCAAUCCUAAUUCAGGGAGCCAGUGACAAGAAAUAGCAAGCUGGGAAACUAAGUUUCUACGGCAUUGAAAUGAGAAAAGUGUUAAUCUCUUAGCGAGGAACAAUUGGAGGGCAAGUCAUGGUGCCAGCAGCCGCGGUAAUUCCAGCUCCAAUAGCGUAUAUUAAAGUUGUUGCAGUUAAAAAGCUCGUAGUUGAACUUCUGCUUAGGUUCAUUUCGACUCGUCGAGUGAAACUAGGCAUACGUCUGCAAACUAAAAUCGGCCUUCACUGGUUCGACUUAGGGAGUAGACAUUUUACUGUGAAAAAAUUAGAGUGUUUCAGGCAGGUUUUAGCCCGGAUACAUUAGCAUGGAAUAAUGGAAUAGGACUAAGUCCAUUUUAUUGGUUCUUGGAUUUGGUAAUGAUUAAUAGGGACAGUUGGGGGCAUUAGUAUUUAAUAGUCAGAGGUGAAAUUCUUGGAUUUAUUAAGGACUAACUAAUGCGAAAGCAUUUGCCAAAGAUGUUUUCAUUAAUCAAGAACGAAAGUUAGGGGAUCAAAGACGAUCAGAUACCGUCGUAGUCUUAACUAUAAACUAUACCGACUCGGGAUCGGCUGGAAUAUAUGUCCAGUCGGCACCGUAUGAGAAAUCAAAGUCUUUGGGUUCUGGGGGAAGUAUGGUACGCAAGUCUGAAACUUAAAGGAAUUGACGGAACAGCACACCAGAAGUGGAACCUGCGGCUUAAUUUGACUCAACACGGGGAAACUCACGAGCGCAAGACAGAGAAGGGAUUGACAGAUUGAGAGCUCUUUCUUGAUUCUUUGGGUGGUGGUGCAUGGCCGUUCUUAGUUGGUGGAGUGAUUUGUCUGGUUAAUUCCGUUAACGAACGAGACCUUAACCUGCUAACUAGUCUGUCUGUGAAUAACAGAUUGUACUUCUUAGAGGGACUAUUGUGCAAGAAGCCAAUGGAAGUUUAAGGCAAUAACAGGUCUGUGAUGCCCCUAGACGUGCUCGGCCGCACGCGCGUUACAAUGACUGGCUCAGAAAGUAUUUCCUGUCCUGAGAAGGUACGGGUAAUCUUAUUAAUACCAGUCGUGUUAGGGAUAGUUCUUUGGAAUUUUGGAUCUUGAACGAGGAAUUUCUAGUAAGUGCAAGUCAUCAGCUG